This is a long non-coding RNA of Brachypodium distachyon (stiff brome), 1053 nucleotides long. RefSeq lists it as uncharacterized. The record is from RefSeq and is a predicted model, not a curated record. The transcript is spliced from 2 exons. NCBI's taxonomy places the organism in Eukaryota, Viridiplantae, Streptophyta, Magnoliopsida, Poales, Poaceae.
AUCUUCUCCUCUGCAAGGGCAUCCCGACCACCAGGUUCCGUUCCCAUCACUUUCUUCUUGUGGAAAACAUGAUUAUGUCCACUCCGACAAAUGGAUUUGUCGGGCAGGUUUCUCUGUCCAGUCAGAUCUACUCCGCUGACGGGAACAACUAGCUACUACAACAUGUAGAUGUGAUUAAUGGCUUGUUGCAAGCUUAUUCAUGCCAACAACGUGUUCGGUGAAAUCCCAACAAGGAUAUAAAUGUGAAUGAGAAGUUUCUUUUUCCCAUUACUUGGUAUUACUUUGAUCUAUUGAUUUCUUCCAAAAUAGUACAGUAGUAAAUUUAAAUCAGAUAGUGGGUUUUCGCUUCAAAAUAGUAAAUUUAUAGUCACCAGUAAUAAUAAAUCAGAUUUUUUUGAACUUUUGCUAUUAGAAUAUCAGUCUAGAAAUAUUGUGUGUUGUUUCUAGCUUGGAGAUUCAUGAAGACGAUAUAUCUUAUCACUUGGAGUUUGUUAUUGUUUUUAUAUGAGGAAAAAUAUUUUUGAUAAGAUUAGUGAGAAGAAAAUAUUAUCAAUAAUCUUGCAAAGAGUUCAAUAGAUGCCUUCCCUGCUGCAGUAACUGGUUUAUCCAUGGAGAUUUCAAGCCUUCUAAUAUAUUCUUGCCAUCCUUGUCUGAAGUUGUGAGCUUUAGUUUCAAAUGACAGAUCCCAAGAUGUGCCAAAUUAUCUGUAAAAAAGUUGGUACCAAGAAAGAAGGGAAGGAGCUCAAGGAAAAAAAUUAGGAUGAAUAUCACAUGAACUCUGGGAUAGAACAUGGCACCAUGACCUGUUCAACGAGCAAAGAGAGGAAACACGGACGAAAUGCCAAUGCAUAAAGAUGGACAAUUGCUGAAAAUACGUUGCACUCGGCGUGCCGUGGCAGUGCACGGGCAAAACGGCUAGUAGUGUGUAAAUAUGUGCUGAAAGUAAAUAUAUCUGUGUAAUUAAAAUGUACACUGGCACGACAACCAUGAAAAAUCGAACAUCAUAUGUAUCUGCUACACUCCAAGUUGCCAAGAAAGUUUGCCACUUCCAUU